UACAGAGGGUGCGAGCGUUGUCCGGAAUCACUGGGCGUAAAGGGCGCGUAGGUGGUGGCUUAAGCGUGCGGUGAAAGCUCGGGGCUCAACUCCGAGUCGGCCGUGCGAACUGGGCUCACUGGAGCAUAGUAGAGGCAGGUGGAAUUCCCGGUGUAGUGGUGGAAUGCGUAGAUAUCGGGAGGAACACCAGUGGCGAAGGCGGUUGCCUGGGGCUUUGCUGACGCUGAGGCGCGAAAGCGUGGGGGAGCAAACAGGG
RNAcentral lists this ribosomal RNA (256 nucleotides) under uncultured bacterium. RNAcentral describes it as "partial 16S ribosomal RNA". It matches the Rfam family "Bacterial small subunit ribosomal RNA", at positions 524 to 777 of the family's 1533-position model. The record is from RNAcentral.